AGAGUUUGAUCCUGGCUCAGAAUGAACGCUGGCGGCAGGCCUAACACAUGCAAGUCGAACGAGGUAGCAAUACCUAGUGGCGGACGGGUGAGUAACACGUGGGAACGUACCCUUUGCUACGGAAUAGCCCUGGGAAACUGGGAGUAAUACCGUAUGAGCCCGAGAGGGGAAAGAUUUAUCGGCAAAGGAUCGGCCGCGUUGGAUUAGGUAGUUGGUGGGGUAAUGGCCUACCAAGCCGACGAUCCAUAGCUGGUUUGAGAGGAUGAUCAGCCACACUGGGACUGAGACACGGCCCAGACUCCUACGGGAGGCAGCAGGUGGGGAAUCUUAGACAAUGGGGGAAACCCUGAUCUAGCCAUGCCGCGUGAUCGAUGAAGGCCUUAGGGUUGUAAAGAUCUUUCAGGUGGGAAGAUAAUGACUGUACCACCAGAAGAAGCCCCGGCUAACUCCGUG
This 453-nucleotide ribosomal RNA is filed under the name uncultured bacterium. RNAcentral's name for it is "bacterial SSU rRNA". It matches the Rfam family "Bacterial small subunit ribosomal RNA", at positions 8 to 507 of the family's 1533-position model. The record is from RNAcentral.